UACAGAGGUCUCAAGCGUUGUUCGGAUUCAUUGGGCGUAAAGGGCGCGUAGGUGGCCAACUAAGUCAGACGUGAAAUCCCUCGGCUUAACCGGGGAACUGCGUCUGAUACUGGAUGGCUUGAGUUCGGGAGAGGGAUGCGGAAUUCCAGGUGUAGCGGUGAAAUGCGUAGAUAUCUGGAGGAACACCGGUGGCGAAGGCGGCAUCCUGGGCCGACACUGACGCUGAAACGCGAAAGCCAGGGGAGCAAACGGG
This 253-nucleotide ribosomal RNA is filed under the name uncultured bacterium. RNAcentral describes it as "partial 16S ribosomal RNA". It matches the Rfam family "Bacterial small subunit ribosomal RNA", at positions 524 to 776 of the family's 1533-position model. The record is from RNAcentral.